Molecule: ribosomal RNA, 518 nt
Filed under: Brasilonema sp. VBCCA 052027
Lineage: Bacteria; Bacillati; Cyanobacteriota; Cyanophyceae; Nostocales; Scytonemataceae
Description: bacterial SSU rRNA
Rfam family: Bacterial small subunit ribosomal RNA
Source: RNAcentral
CAGGUCAAACGGACUCUUCGGAGUUAGUGGCGGACGGGUGAGUAACGCGUGAGAAUCUGGCUUCAGGUUUGGGACAACAGUGGGAAACCGCUGCUAAUACCGGAUGUGCCUUACGAGGUGAAAAAUUAAUUGCCUGAAGAUGAGCUCGUCUCUGAUUAUCUACUUGGUGGGGUAAGAACACCCCAAGGAGGCAAUCAUUAGGUGGUGUGAGGAGAUGACCACCCACCCUGGAACAGAUACGCGGCCCACACUCCUCCGGGAGGAGGCAGGGGGGAUUUUUCCUCCGUGGGGGAAAACCUGACGGAACAAUACCGCGGGGGGGAGGAAGGCUGUUGUGGUGUAAACCUCUUUUCUCCAGAAAUAAGUUCAGAGGGUAUUUGAGGAAACAACAUCGGCUAUCUCCGUGCCACCACCCGCGGAAAUAUGGAGGAUGCAAGCGUUAUCCGGAAUGAUUGGGCGUAAAGGGUCCCCGGGUGGCAUUAAAUGUCUGUUGUCAAAAAGUGCCUCUCACCUGCAUA